This 286-nucleotide ribosomal RNA is filed under the name uncultured bacterium. RNAcentral's name for it is "partial 16S ribosomal RNA". It matches the Rfam family "Bacterial small subunit ribosomal RNA", at positions 335 to 618 of the family's 1533-position model. The record is from RNAcentral.
UACCUACGGGACGCAGCAGUGAGGAAUAUUGGUCAAUGGCCGAGAGGCUGAACCAGCCAAGUCGCGUGAGGGAAGAAUGUCCUAUGGAUUGUAAACCUCUUUUGUCGGGGAGCAAGGCCCGCCACGUGUGGCGGGAAGGAGAGUACCCGAAGAAAAAGCAUCGGCUAACUCCGUGCCAGCAGCCGCGGUAAUACGGAGGAUGCGAGCGUUAUCCGGAUUUAUUGGGUUUAAAGGGGGCGUAGGCGGAAGGUUAAGUCAGCGGUCAAAUGUCGGGGCUCAACACCGG